Molecule: RNA transcript, 1153 nt
Organism: Myotis lucifugus (little brown bat)
Lineage: Eukaryota; Metazoa; Chordata; Mammalia; Chiroptera; Vespertilionidae
Gene name: sorting nexin-10 pseudogene
Exons: 1
Source: RefSeq, a predicted model, not a curated record
AUGAACAAUCGCCAGCAUGUGGACCAGCGGCGUCAGGGUCUGGAAGAUUUCCUCAGACAGGUCCUACACAACGCGCUCCUGCUCUCAGACAGCAGCCUGCACCUCUUCUUGCAAAGCCAUCUGAACUCGGAAGACAUCGAGGCGUGCGUUUCUGGGCAGACCAAGUACUCGGUAGAGGAAGCAAUUCACAAGUUCGCCUUGAUGAACAGACGCUUCCCCGAAGAAGAUGAAGCCGGAGAACAAGAAAACAAUAUAGAUUAUGGUUCAGAAAGUUCAUCCUCCGGGUUUGGCCACAGUAGUGAUGACAGCAGUUCACAUGGGUGUAACAUGAGCACGGCUCCGCAGGAAUCCUGAAAAAGAAUUCUGACGUGACCAUCUUAGGAACAGCAAAUUACGUCCAGUCAUAGAGGAGAAAGCCCGCUAAUGAUACAUUUUUACCUAAAGCUCACUGUCAUGAUAGUAGGCACUUAAAUUCUUCAAGACGCUGGGUUGUUUAUUCAUGCUGUUUUCAUGUUGUCUUAUUUUGGCUAAGCUUCCGUAAAAAGCUAAAGGCCUGUGAUUGCAACUCUCUCCUAUACAGGCCAACAUUAUUGGUAAAACAAGAUCCUGCUCUCAAAUGACAUGGUGUAUGUGUUUUAAAAAAACAACAACCUGGUUGCUUUUACUGAAUUUGAAAAUAUAGGCAAUUAGUUAGCAUUUGAAAUCCAGACAGUGGAUGCCUUUUUGAAUCAACGGGGCAGUGUUAGCGUAAACACAGCAUGUAUGAGCCUAACCACCCUGAAGACUGACAACCUAGACCAGCCAGCCUCGCUCAGACAUGGGGCUGAUAUUCUGUGGGUACCUCCCCCGCACCGGGAAGACACUUUGCUUUUGGGUGUUUGGACUCUUUGAAGGGAGUUUAACCUUGCCAGUAUUCUGUUUCACAUUUAGAUGGGGAAAGUAUCUUGGGAACAGAGACAUGCUAAAAUAAUGUUUACAUCCCAGACAAAACAGAAACCGUGCCAGUGACUUUGCUUAGACUUGGAAUAUGUAGAUUAAGAAAUACAGUCUCAUUGUCCAAAAAUCAGCUUUAACACAUGGUUUCUGGAGACAAAUCAUUUGUUUUCAUUAUCUUUGUGUAAUUGGAAUUACAGGUUCGUGAUUUAUUUUCUGA